UAAGAAUCUAAAUGCCCGGGUUUUUUGC
Molecule: small RNA, 28 nt
Filed under: Bombyx mori (domestic silkworm)
Lineage: Eukaryota; Metazoa; Arthropoda; Insecta; Lepidoptera; Bombycidae
Description: ovarian small RNA-19130
Source: RNAcentral